Molecule: ribosomal RNA, 468 nt
Filed under: uncultured bacterium
Lineage: Bacteria
Description: partial 16S ribosomal RNA
Rfam family: Bacterial small subunit ribosomal RNA
Source: RNAcentral
GACGAACGCUGGCGGCGUGCUUAACACAUGCAAGUCGAACGGAAAGGCCCUGCCUUUGUGGGGUGCUCGAGUGGCGAACGGGUGAGUAACACGUGAGUAACCUGCCCUUGACUUUGGGAUAACUUCAGGAAACUGGGGCUAAUCCCGGAUAGGAGCUCUUGCUGCAUGGUGGGGGUUGGAUAGUUUCGGCGGUUGGGGAUGGACUCGCGGCUUAUCAGCUUGUUGGUGGGGUAGUGGCUGACCAAGGCUUUGACCCGUAGCCGAGCUGAGAGGGUGACCGGCCACAUUGGGACUGGAAUGCGGCCCAGACUCCUACGGGAGGCAGCAGUGGAGAAUAUUGCACAAUGGGCGGAAGCCUGAUGCAGCAACGCCGCGUGCGGGAUGACGGCCUUCGGGUUGUAAACCGCUUUCGCCUGUGACGAGGCGUGAGUGACGGUAAUGGGUAAAGAAGCACCGGCUAACUACGUG